GACGAACGCUGGCGGCGUGCCUAAUACAUGCAAGUAGAACGCUGAAGAGAGGAGCUUGCUCUUCUUGGAUGAGUUGCGAACGGGUGAGUAACGCGUAGGUAACCUGCCUUGUAGCGGGGGAUAACUAUUGGAAACGAUAGCUAAUACCGCAUAACAAUGGAUGACACAUGUCAUUUAUUUGAAAGGGGCAAUUGCUCCACUACAAGAUGGACCUGCGUUGAAUUAGCUAGUAGGUGAGGUAAUGGCUCACCUAGGCGACGAUACAUAGCCGACCUGAGAGGGUGAUCGGCCACACUGGGACUGAGACACGGCCCAGACUCCUACGGGAGGCAGCAGUAGGGAAUCUUCGGCAAUGGGGGCAACCCUGACCGAGCAACGCCGCGUGAGUGAAGAAGGUUUUCGGAUCGUAAAGCUCUGUUGUAAGUCAAGAACGGGUGUGAGAGUGGAAAGUUCACACUGUGACGGUAGCUUACCAGAAAGGGACGGCUAACUACGUG
RNAcentral lists this ribosomal RNA (497 nucleotides) under uncultured bacterium. RNAcentral describes it as "partial 16S ribosomal RNA". It matches the Rfam family "Bacterial small subunit ribosomal RNA", at positions 28 to 507 of the family's 1533-position model. The record is from RNAcentral.